AAGAUUUUAAGUUAAUGAAACUAUUAAUUUUCAAAAUUAAAUUUAAAAUAUAAUUUUAAAUCUUA
RNAcentral lists this transfer RNA (65 nucleotides) under Paduniella fasciaria. RNAcentral's name for it is "tRNA-Trp". The record is from RNAcentral. Lineage: Eukaryota; Metazoa; Arthropoda; Insecta; Trichoptera; Psychomyiidae.